This 253-nucleotide ribosomal RNA is filed under the name uncultured bacterium. RNAcentral describes it as "partial 16S ribosomal RNA". It matches the Rfam family "Bacterial small subunit ribosomal RNA", at positions 524 to 776 of the family's 1533-position model. The record is from RNAcentral.
UACGUAGGGUGCAAGCGUUGUCCGGAAUUAUUGGGCGUAAAGGGCGCGUAGGCGGCUCGACAAGUCCCGCGUGAAAGCCCCCGGCUCAACUGGGGAACUGCGCGGGAAACUGUCGGACUUGAGUUCGGGAGAGGGAAGCGGAAUUCCGGGUGUAGCGGUGAAAUGCGUAGAUAUCCGGAGGAACACCGGUGGCGAAGGCGGCUUCCUGGACCGACACUGACGCUGAGGCGCGAAAGCUAGGGGAGCAAACGGG